Molecule: ribosomal RNA, 710 nt
Filed under: Staphylococcus epidermidis
Lineage: Bacteria; Bacillati; Bacillota; Bacilli; Caryophanales; Staphylococcaceae
Description: bacterial LSU rRNA
Rfam family: Bacterial large subunit ribosomal RNA
Source: RNAcentral
GGUAACACUGAAUGGAGGACCGAACCGACUUACGUUGAAAAGUGAGCGGAUGAACUGAGGGUAGCGGAGAAAUUCCAAUCGAACUUGGAGAUAGCUGGUUCUCUCCGAAAUAGCUUUAGGGCUAGCCUCAAGUGAUGAUUAUUGGAGGUAGAGCACUGUUUGGACGAGGGGCCCCUCUCGGGUUACCGAAUUCAGACAAACUCCGAAUGCCAAUUAAUUUAACUUGGGAGUCAGAACAUGGGUGAUAAGGUCCGUGUUCGAAAGGGAAACAGCCCAGACCACCAGCUAAGGUCCCAAAAUAUAUGUUAAGUGGAAAAGGAUGUGGCGUUGCCCAGACAACUAGGAUGUUGGCUUAGAAGCAGCCAUCAUUUAAAGAGUGCGUAAUAGCUCACUAGUCGAGUGACACUGCGCCGAAAAUGUACCGGGGCUAAACAUAUUACCGAAGCUGUGGAUUGUCCUUUGGACAAUGGUAGGAGAGCGUUCUAAGGGCGUCGAAGCAUGAUCGCAAGGACAUGUGGAGCGCUUAGAAGUGAGAAUGCCGGUGUGAGUAGCGAAAGACGGGUGAGAAUCCCGUCCACCGAUUGACUAAGGUUUCCAGAGGAAGGCUCGUCCGCUCUGGGUUAGUCGGGUCCUAAGCUGAGGCCGACAGGCGUAGGCGAUGGAUAACAGGUUGAUAUUCCUGUACCACCUAGUAUCGUUUUAAUAGAUGG